Tetranychus urticae (two-spotted spider mite) is the source of this 978-nucleotide long non-coding RNA. RefSeq lists it as uncharacterized. The record is from RefSeq and is a predicted model, not a curated record. Lineage: Eukaryota; Metazoa; Arthropoda; Arachnida; Trombidiformes; Tetranychidae.
UCUCGAUCAAUAGUCACUUGUUGAUUGAUUAUCAGCCUUGAUCCGAAUUAAAUAAAUUGCGUAAAUUGAAUUGAAUCAAUUAAAUUGGACUAAAAUUAGUCCAAAAUGUAACUCUUGCCGUUCAAGAGUGUUAAUUGUAGCCGUUAAAGUGAAGCUAAUUGAGUAAAUCUAAAUCGAGUGGUUAACUAAGCCAAGUGAGACAAGGUAUUAUUAAUGUUAUGUAAUUUUAAUGUGUUUAAGUAAUGUGCAAGUUGUAUCAAUGAUCAUUGUACAUCGUCCAAGCGAUCAAGGUUUGCUUCAAUCGGAGCCAGUUUGUUUCUCUCCUCAAUAAUCCAAUUAAUGUUGGAAAGUCAAGCUUAAUUAUGAUUAAUCUGAACCGAGAAAUGAAUCAAUGAGAAGCUUAAAUCAAUAUCAAUAAUGGUUACCUGAAGAAAAGGGUGAAUUUGAAAAGGAAAAUUUGGCCUUUUUGUAUGCAUCAACAACCUCAAAGUGAUAAUGGUUUAUCUGGUAACCAGCAGAAGCACCAGUAAAAAUUAACAAUUUGGGCAACAACACAAUUUGUUAAUCUGAUAGCCAAAUAAUAAUAUUGAUGAAAAUGAAAUUCACGCCACUAAUCAAAUUACCAUGAAUAAUGAAGGUUUAACCAAUAAUCAAGGUUAUCAUUUUAAUUCCCUUUGAUUUACUCUCUUAACCUCUCUUUUUUCCGUUCAAUUUUUUUCUCUCUCUCUUAAAUUAUUCCAGCUAAUCAUUAUUGAAAUUAUCAUUAUUAUUAUUAUAUUAUUAUUAUUAUUUCAUUAUUCAUUUAUCCUUCUUCUUCUUCCUGAAAUGUUCAUCAUGUAAGGAGAAACGAUAAACACAUAUACAGUCUGAACGAUGAAUACAGAUUGAAGGUAAUCCUUUCAAGAUCAUAACCAUUUUGUCUUCCAUUAAGUUGCUUUACUGUUCCAUUAAACAGGUAGAACAAAAAACAUUUCAAAA